GUUCUCACUCAGAGGAUUCUGUUGGUGCCUUAUCCUUCCUGGAUGACAUAAAGAUUCUACAGUGAACACUAAGAACUUCAAGCAGGGAAGGAAAAAAAGGCACAAACUUAGACUUGGGCAGCACCACAGAACAGGUCCCUAGCAGAGCCAGCAAUACUGCUGAGUCCUCUUCAUUAUCAAGCCAGUAGACCAUCUAGGGGGGAAAAAAUGGAUUCAAGGCACUCAGAACUCCACUGGUCAAACAGAAAUAAACAUUCCUGUUAAGUAACCAUGAGCAGAAAGCAAGAGUCUUGCAGAACAAGCCUCAUAUCAACACAGCUGAAGACUUUCCUGAG
Molecule: long non-coding RNA, 335 nt
Filed under: Anas platyrhynchos platyrhynchos (common mallard)
Lineage: Eukaryota; Metazoa; Chordata; Aves; Anseriformes; Anatidae
Description: lncRNA (ENSAPLG00000028530.1)
Source: RNAcentral